Molecule: long non-coding RNA, 275 nt
Organism: Oreochromis aureus
Lineage: Eukaryota; Metazoa; Chordata; Actinopteri; Cichliformes; Cichlidae
Exons: 3
Source: RefSeq, a predicted model, not a curated record
GGAACUGCAGCAAGGAACAGUCAGAAGCUGGAACAAAACACACAAUGACGAGCCAGAGGUCGGGAUUCCUCAGAAGCGUGCUGUGUAAAUGGCAUGCACAGGCCACUGUCAUUGGUGAUCCUCAGUGUAUCACACAUACUACCUAAAGAGGAUUGGGAGAGGCAGUCUCUUGACAUCAUUAUUCAGCAGGAACACCUAUUUUACCUUCGCCAUGACACCAGCAUAAACCUUAUCAGCUGAUUUGUUCAGCUCAGCUGUGGCUGCAGGAGUACAAG